GUCACCUUCUGUACGAAGUCUUCCUAAUUUCCCCCUGGCGGGAUGAAUUAAUGACUCUGUCCUCUGGCUGUUCCCAGAAUUUCAGAUGAUCACACAGGAAAUGCUACCUCAGAGAUUGUCUGAAAUUGCCGCUUCACGCUUGGACUUCAGGGCUCUGUAGCCCCACGCGUCUGCCCUGGAGAAAGUCCUCAUUUUCUUCCACUUGGAGUAUCUCAAGAACCUCUUUCACCACCCUCUGUUUUGCAUUGUAAGCUCUUUCCAAAAUCAAAGCAUCCACCAAUCCAUAAACAUUCUGUCAACUUU
This is a long non-coding RNA of Choloepus didactylus (southern two-toed sloth), 303 nucleotides long. RefSeq lists it as uncharacterized. The record is from RefSeq and is a predicted model, not a curated record. The transcript has 2 exons. NCBI's taxonomy places the organism in Eukaryota, Metazoa, Chordata, Mammalia, Pilosa, Megalonychidae.